This 466-nucleotide ribosomal RNA is filed under the name uncultured bacterium. RNAcentral's name for it is "bacterial SSU rRNA". It matches the Rfam family "Bacterial small subunit ribosomal RNA", at positions 927 to 1369 of the family's 1533-position model. The record is from RNAcentral.
UUUUUUCCAAGCGGGGGGCAUGUUGUUUAAUUUGAAGGAACGGGGAGAACCUUACCCACCCUUGACCUCCCGGUUGGGGUUUCCAGAGGAGGAUUCCUUUCAUUUGGGUGGACCGGUGCCCGGUGGUGCCUGGGCGUUGUUCAGUUGGGUUGGGGGAAGGUUGGGUAAGUCCCGCAACGGGCGCCACCCUUGCCCUUUGUUGCCCACCUUUAAUUGGGCCAUUUAGGAGGACCCCCGGGUCAAAACCGAGAGGAAGGUGGGGAUGACGUCAAGUCCUCAUGGCCCUUACGGGCUGGGCUACACACGUGCUACAAUGGUGGUGACAGUGGGCAGCAAGCCCGCGAGGUAGAGCUAAUCUCCAAAAGCCGUCUCAGUUCGGAUUGCACUCUGCAACUCGAGUGCAUGAAGUGGAAUUCCCUAUUAAUCCCGAAUCACCAGGCCGCGGUGAAUACUUUUCCCGGACCAA